This 870-nucleotide ribosomal RNA is filed under the name Bacillus subtilis. RNAcentral describes it as "bacterial SSU rRNA". It matches the Rfam family "Bacterial small subunit ribosomal RNA", at positions 59 to 910 of the family's 1533-position model. Lineage: Bacteria; Bacillati; Bacillota; Bacilli; Caryophanales; Bacillaceae. The record is from RNAcentral.
CAGUCGAGCGGACAGAUGGGAGCUUGCUCCCUGAUGUUAGCGGCGGACGGGUGAGUAACACGUGGGUAACCUGCCUGUAAGACUGGGAUAACUCCGGGAAACCGGGGCUAAUACCGGAUGGUUGUUUGAACCGCAUGGUUCAAACAUAAAAGGUGGCUUCGGCUACCACUUACAGAUGGACCCGCGGCGCAUUAGCUAGUUGGUGAGGUAACGGCUCACCAAGGCAACGAUGCGUAGCCGACCUGAGAGGGUGAUCGGCCACACUGGGACUGAGACACGGCCCAGACUCCUACGGGAGGCAGCAGUAGGGAAUCUUCCGCAAUGGACGAAAGUCUGACGGAGCAACGCCGCGUGAGUGAUGAAGGUUUUCGGAUCGUAAAGCUCUGUUGUUAGGGAAGAACAAGUACCGUUCGAAUAGGGCGGUACCUUGACGGUACCUAACCAGAAAGCCACGGCUAACUACGUGCCAGCAGCCGCGGUAAUACGUAGGUGGCAAGCGUUGUCCGGAAUUAUUGGGCGUAAAGGGCUCGCAGGCGGUUUCUUAAGUCUGAUGUGAAAGCCCCCGGCUCAACCGGGGAGGGUCAUUGGAAACUGGGGAACUUGAGUGCAGAAGAGGAGAGUGGAAUUCCACGUGUAGCGGUGAAAUGCGUAGAGAUGUGGAGGAACACCAGUGGCGAAGGCGACUCUCUGGUCUGUAACUGACGCUGAGGAGCGAAAGCGUGGGGAGCGAACAGGAUUAGAUACCCUGGUAGUCCACGCCGUAAACGAUGAGUGCUAAGUGUUAGGGGGUUUCCGCCCCUUAGUGCUGCAGCUAACGCAUUAAGCACUCCGCCUGGGGAGUACGGUCGCAAGACUGAAACUCAAAGGAUU